This 84-nucleotide transfer RNA is filed under the name Verrucomicrobiota bacterium. RNAcentral's name for it is "Verrucomicrobia bacterium tRNA-Leu". It matches the Rfam family "tRNA". Rfam says of the family: Transfer RNA (tRNA) molecules are approximately 80 nucleotides in length. Lineage: Bacteria; Pseudomonadati; Verrucomicrobiota. The record is from RNAcentral.
GCCGGCGUGGCGGAACUGGCAGACGCGCUGGACUCAAAAUCCAGUGAUCGCAAGAUCGUGUGGGUUCGAGCACCACCGCCGGCA